Molecule: long non-coding RNA, 790 nt
Organism: Passer domesticus (house sparrow)
Lineage: Eukaryota; Metazoa; Chordata; Aves; Passeriformes; Passeridae
Exons: 3
Source: RefSeq, a predicted model, not a curated record
UGAGAACUGCUCUCAAGUGCUUUCAGCUGCUCUCAGCCCCCUUUUCCUAUUGCACUGAUUGUCCUGGCAGCUCAGCCCUGCCUGUGACCCACAUCCCUUCAGUUCAGCCAUCAGGCCAUGCCCAGUGUGCUGAUGGUGUCUAUAGGCAAGAGUACUUCCAGCAUACCAUCUGAUUGGAGAAGUCUCUAAAAUGUUCUGGUGAAGGUACAUCUCUACUAGUUCUGUCAGCCCGAAGACAGGAAGCACAGCACAAUUAAUCUCUGCACACAUGGAUUCUUCCAUCCCACAAUGGCACUGCUUCUUCAAUACCCUCCCUUUGGAAGGAUCCCUUGGCCACACCACCCUCCAGUGCCUGCACAGUAUGUGCUGAUUACUGGUACCAGUGUUGCUAGUUGGUAAAGCCCAGCUGGCAUUUUUUAACCUUUCUCUUUUGAUUUAUAAAUUGCCAAUAACUAGUGACAAAAACAAAGCUCAACAAAGUUCCACCCAAAAGAAAAGCAUCUUUCCCUGUGGGUUUAAUUCAAGUAACUAACUGCAUGUGGGAAUCACGAGCAAUAUACUAGGUAAUACCACUACUCUUCUGUUCAGUAAAGGUAUGAGACUCAAAGACAGAACCAUUUGGUUCCCAAGCAUGCACUGAAAAAGGAGAGCAAAUGCAUCAAGCCUCAGCUAUAUACACAAACUCAGCCACAGGCUGUGAAAUCAAAGGUUGAGGCAGAAGCAGGGUCUUCUAUUCCUGUUGAGGGAGCCAGGUGUCCAGCUUUUUUGAUAACAUAAAGUCUCCAGCUAU